RNAcentral lists this long non-coding RNA (10871 nucleotides) under Olea europaea subsp. europaea. Lineage: Eukaryota; Viridiplantae; Streptophyta; Magnoliopsida; Lamiales; Oleaceae. The record is from RNAcentral.
AGCAGAAAUGUAAUACAAAAGAGGCAAAUAAUAGAAAUUUACUACUUUAAAACAUAAUUGUUCUUUCCAAAUACCUAUAUUUAAUUACCCGUAAAGGGCCAACUGAUUCAAAGCUCCAGAUUUGCAUAUGGCCUAAAUUUGUUAAUUUGUUCUAUCUCAUGCAAUUCUAAGUCUGCUUCAUCAUCAAUGUUUGUUGUUGUUGUUGUCAUAAAUAUGGCAUGAACAAGAAUCGUUGGCAGCACAAGUUGAACACUCAACUUAAAACUCCUCCAUGUGCUAGAGAUAUAAGCAGUGCAUAAGGAUAGCAGCAUAAUUAUGGAGUAGGUAUACCAAAAGAUAUCUUGUGGGAAGAAUUAGGGGUGCAAGCGGUCCAAUUUUACCGAUUUUAGACAGAUUUUCAAACCAAAUCGUUUAAACCGGUUUGAAAAAAACUCAAACUUAAACCAAACCAUUUUGAACGGUUUGAAAAAAACUCAAACCUAAACCUAACGGUUUGAUCUAGUUUUAAACCGUCGGUUACUUUUAUGUCAUUAAUUCAUUGAAUUCAAUAUAUAUUUAUAUCUCACUAGCAAUAAAUCUAAAACAAACUAAACCCCUGUUUGAACCAAAUUUUUGAAACAAAAAAAAUGAAAAUUUGAACCAUUAUCCCACAAGUCCAGCCACCUUUGUUGACCUGCUAUUUCAUGUGUGGGAUCUAGCCUCCUCUCCAACGAUCAAUUUUCUCGUUAUGAUGAUAUGAAAAAUAUGGCUCAAACAGAGGCUAAAUAUAUCUAUUAUAAAUUUAAAUACCAACUAAAUCAAAGAAAAAUUACAAUAAAUUAAAAUAUAAUUUUUUUUUCAUUUUUGUUUAUCUUGUUUAGGCUAAUGAGGAUAUAAUAACGUUACAAUACAAGUCUAUUAAAUUAGAUAUAAGGGCCAAAAAAUAUAAUGAUGUCCAAUAAGAUCUCGUGAUCACCAUAUCUGAAAAAAGGACACUGAUUAGACAAAGAGAAUAACCAAUAACAAUAAUAAAGUAAUUGUUUAUAAUAUAUAAACAUAACAAUUACACAAAUUUACGUUUGUAUGAUAUUACAAAACGCAUUUAAUUUCAGAUUCUUACCUUAGUUUGUUCCAAAAAAUUAUUGAUCUGUAAUUUUAUUCGUAGCAAAUAUUAUCACCAAAUGUCUAGGAUUUCUUUGCCUCCGAUUUGGUAUAAUAGACUACUAUUCAACUUUGAAUAGGUGUGAAAAAUCUGAAAAAGAAGUGUGUGGUGCCGGUGGCUCAAGACUUUGUUGGAUGUCUGCUGGAGUUCAUCUAAAUUUUGAAGAUGAAAAUGACUUUUGAUAGAUUAUGUUAGUCUUGAGAUUAUUAAAUAUAUAUUAGGAUUAUUGGAUAAUAAUAAUAACAAUAUACCCGUAUUAGAAAAUUAGAAAUUGACAAAAAUACCCACAAAUGACAAAACUAUUAAAUUUUACUUAUUUGGAUGAAUUUCCAAAAAAAUAAAAUAAAAAUUGUUUCUUCAUUUUUUUAUUUUUAUAUAUUUUUUCGCCUGUCCGGUUUGAUUUUAAAACGCAAUUAAAAUUCUCAAACCUAAACCAAACCAUUUUGACCGGUUUGGUUUGGGUCAAAACCAUUUCGUUGACCGGGUCCACGUGGUACCAAACCGACGAUUUUUAAAAUGCGAUUUCGAUUCGAUUUGACGGUUUUUGCUUACAGCCUUAGUGAGGCAAGAAACAAACCAAUAGAGAAAGAGUAAUUCUUGACUUUAAUGCGUAUGUAUCCCAAAUCAACUUGAGGUGUCAAUGGGAUUUCAUGGAAACAUCCACUACUGUGAAAAAGCAAACAGUAUCAGAAAAAUGGGAUGUUUCCAUGAAACUUCCUAUUUUCUUAUAUAUAGGGAUAUAUCAUGCUGCUCAAAGCAAGUAUCAUCUUCAUAUUCAAUUCAUCACUUCUCCAAAUGAGGUGUUUCCUUGAAACUUCCUAUUUUCUUAUAUAUUGGGAUAUAAAAAAAAAAAAGGUUAAACCCUAAUCUUGAGGGCCCUCACCGCCCCGUUCCUAGAGCUUUGUGAGGGAGGUAGAUCGCGGGAUGUGCCCCCAAUAGGCCAGGGAACAAAAGCUGCUUGUACACUGCGCUUACAAGGAGUCCAAUUCCAUAUUUCAGGAAUCGAACCCCCACACUGCGGCUGUCAGCAAGGCGUGAGAUAAUCUCACUCCUGUCUUUUGCACCAUUAGACUAUACCCCGGGGGUUUAUAUAUAUAUAUAUCAUGCUGCUCAAAGCAAGUAUCAUCUUCAUAUUCAAUUCAUCACUUCUCCUUAAUUUCUCCCUCUAACCAAAACCCCAAGAAUUCUGGAAUUCUUCACUCUCUCAAACCAAAAACCAAGAAUUCUGCAAUUCAUUACCUCUCCUUAAUUUCUCUUUCUUAACAAUCUUUCAGUUAAGAAUAAUGUCAUACUUUGAUCUAAGACACGCUACCCCAUUAGCUGUAAACAUACUGAAAUCACCUAUAGCCAUGCCUUGGGAAUGGGAUCCAUUUGGUAUAGUAUUUGAAAACUUCACGUGGGUCAAGUUUUGGCUUCUCACUAGCUUUUUCUUUCUCUUAUCCUUCAUCUCCAUUGAAAUCCCAUUGGCACCUCAAGUUGAUAUGGGAUGCAUACGCAUUCAAGUCAAGAACUACUCAGUUUCCCUAUUGGUUUGUUUCUUGGCCUCGCUAUUCUUCCCACAAGAUGUCUUUUGGUAUAUCUACCCCAUAAUUAUGCUGCUCUCCUUAUGCACUGCUUGUAUCUCUAGAAUAUAGAGGAGUUUUAAGCAAAAUGUUCAAAUUCUGCUGCCAACAAUUCCCGUUCUUAACAUAUAUAUGACUACAACAAUAAAUAGUGACGAGAAUGCCGACUUAGAAUCUCAAGAGAUUGAACAAAUUUAGCAAGUUUAGGCCACAUGCAAAUCUGGAGCUUUGAAUCAGUAAUUAACUAUAUUUAUAUGGAAAGAACUAUAAUAUUUUGAAGUUGUAAAUUUUUGUUAUUUGCCUCUUUUGUAUUACAUUUUUGUUAGCAUAUAGCGAAUAUAAUUCGAGCAAAAAAAAGUGUUUCAGAUUUUCAAAUUUUUUUUAAUUAUUUUUUUGCCUCUAUCAAGGGAUGUCAAUUUAUAUUNNNNNNNNNNNNNAUUUGUAUGUAAAAAUGUAUUUUAGAAUAGUAACUUGAUGGAAAGUGUUUAAUUGAAAAAUAAGGAAAAAAAUUUGGUUUCCGUGGUUUAUUAUUUUAAUAAAGAAUGUGUAAUUGAAAAGAAACAGAAAAAUGUAUUUUGAAAAAAAUGGAUUCCAAACGGAGGCUUAAUUUCCCUUAUUCUGGCCAAGGGCUCAAUUUGUAAAUUGAAAAGUAAAGAGCCAUUGGACACAUUAUUCAUUUAGUGGGUUAGCAGCAAAAUUAGGCCAUUCUAUAUUUUAUUAAAUAGCGUAUAACAACAUAUUUUUUCAUUAUAUUUCAAAUAAAUAAAUAAGUACGAAAAAUAUUUUUCCCUAAUUUCAAAGUAUAGAAACGAAAUUUUUUGACAUAAAAUAUCAUCAAGGGCGAAAUGUAUUAAUUAGGGCUUGUUUGAGCCACACUAUUUUAAAAAAAAAAUACAUUCUUUAACAGUGAUUUGAUAUCAUUUCAACAAUACAUUCUUCAAUAAAAUAAUAUCACACGUAAAUCUAAAAUUUUUCAUUAUUUUUUAACCACACAUUUCUCAUAGAUUUGACAUGAAUAAUGCAUUUUUCCUAGAAUGUGGCUCAAACAUGCGCUUAAUGAAAGUCGAAUCUAAGAGUUUGACGAAAAAAAUUGCAAUAAUAAGCAAAAAUUAAGAACCUUAACUAUAAUUAAAAUGUAGUGGAGCUAAUAAAAAUUGCAAUACCAUUAUAACUGUCCUAAAAGAAAACUUGGCAUCCCUUAGUAGAGACAAAAAAAAAAUGAAAAAACCACCCGAAAGGGUUCUUUCAUCCAAUCUGAAACUUUAAGACAUGUUUUUUUAUAUGCCAGCAGAAAUGUAAUACAAAAGAGGCAAAUAAUAGAAAUUUACUACUUUAAAACAUAAUUGUUCUUUCCAAGUACCUAUAUUUAAUUAUCCGCAAAGGACCAACUGAUUCAAAGCUCCAAAUUUGCAUAUGGCUUAAAUUUGCUGAAUUUGUUCUAUCUCCUGCAAUUCUAAGUCUGCUUCAUCAUCAAUGUUUGUUGUUGUUGUUGUUGUUGUUGUCGUCAUAAAUAUGGUAUGAACAGGAAUAGUUGGCAGCACAAGUUGAACACUCAGCUUAAAACUCCUCCACAUGUUAGAGAUAUAAGCAGUGCAUAAGUAGAGCAACAUAAUUAUGGAGUAGGUAUACCAAAAGAUAUCUUGUGAGAAGAAUUAGGAGUGUAAGUGGUCCGAUUUUACUGAUUUUUGACAGAUUUUCAAACCAAACCCUUUACACUGGUUUGAAAAAAUUCCAAACCUAAACCAAACCAUUUUAAACGGUUUGAAAAAAACUCAAACCUAAACCUAACGGCUUGGUCUGAUUUUAAACCACCGAUUUCGUCAUAUAUUUUUUUCCCGUCUGCUCUUAUGUCAUUAAUUCAUUGAAUUCAAUAUAUAUUUAUAUCUUACUAGUAAUAAAUCUAAAAUAAACUAAACCUCUGUUUGAACAAAAUUUCUGGAACAAAAAAAUGAAAAUUUGAACCAUUAUCCCACAAAUCCAGCCACCUUUGUUGACCUGUUAUUUCAUGUGUGGGACCCAGCCUCCUUUCCAACGAUCAAUUUUCUCGUUAUGAUGAUAUAGAAAAUAUGGCUCAAAUAGAGACUAAAUAUGUCUACUAUAACUUUAAAUACCAACUAAAUCAAAGAAAAAUUACAAUAAGCUAAGACAUAGUUUUUUUUCAUUUUUGUUCAUCUUUUUUAGGCUAAUAACGAUAUAAUAACGUUACAAUACAAGUCUAUUAAAUUAGAUAUAAGAGCCAAAAAAUAUAAUGAUGUUCAAUAAGAUCUCGUGAUCAUCAUAUCUGAAUGAUGGAUACUGAUUAGACAAAGAGAAUAACCAACCAUAAUAAUAAAGCAAUUGUUUAUAAUAUCUAAACAUAACAAUUAUACAAGUUUACGUUUGUAUGAUGUUACGAAACGCAUUUAAUUUCAGAUUCUUACCUUAGUUUGUUCCAAAAAAAUUAUUGAUCUGAAACUUUAUUCGUAACAAAUAUUAUCACCGAAUGUUUACGAUCUCUUUGUCUCCGAUUUGGUAUAAUAGACUACUAUUCAACUUUGAAGAGGCGUGAAAAAUCUGAAAAAGAAGUGUGUGGUGCCGGUGGCUCAAGACUAUGUUGGAUGUCGGCUGAGAGUUCAUCUAAAUUCUGAAGAAGAAAAUGACUUUUGAUAGAUUAUGUUAGUCUUGAAAUUAUUAGAUAUGUAUAAGAAUUAUUGGAUAAUAAAAAAAUUCAUUUCUUCAUUUUUUUUAUUUUUAUAUAUUUUUUCCCCCGUCCGAUUUAGUUUUAAACUGCAAUUAAAAUUCUCAAACCUAAACCAAACCAUUUUGACCGGUUUGGUUUGGGUCAAAACUAUUUUGUUGAUCGAGUCCACGUGGCACCAAACUGACGAUUUCUAAAAUGCGAUUUCGAUUCGAUUUUCUGGUUUGACGGUUUUUACUUACAGGACUAAGAAGAAUAGUGAGGCCAAGAAACAAACCAAUAGGGAAAGAGGAAUUCUUGACUUGAAUGCGUAUGUAUCCCAAAUCAACUUGAGGUGUUAAUGAGAUUUCAUGGAAACAUCCACUAGUGUGAAAAUGCAAACAGUUUCAGGAAAAAAAUGGAUGUUUCCAUAACACUUUCUAUUUUCUUAUAUAUAGGGAUACAUCAUGCUGCUCAAAGAAAGUAUCAUCUUCAUAUUCAAUUCAUCACUUCUCCUUAAUUUCUCUCUUUAACCAAAAUCCAAGAAUUCUGCAAUCGAUCCAACCAAAAACUAAGAAUUCUGCAAUUCAUCACUUCUCCUUAAUUUCCCUCUCCAACCAAAACCCUAAGAAUUCUGGAAUUCAUCACUCUCUCAAACCAAAAACCAAGAAUUCUGCAAUUCAUUACCUCUCCUUAAAUUCUCUCAACAAUCUUUCAGUUAAGAAUAACGUCAUACUUUGAUCUAAGACACGCUACCCCAUUAGCUGUAAACAUACUGAAAUCAUCUACAGCCAUGCCUUGGGAAUGGGAUCCAUUUGGUAUACUAAUUGAAAACUUCACGUGGUUCAAGUUUUGUCUUCUCAAUAGCUUUUUCUUUCUCCUCCUUCAUCUUCAUUGAAAUCCCAUUGGCACCUCAAGUUGAUAUAGGAUGCAUACGCAUUCAAGUCAAGAACUACUCAGUUUCCCUAUUGGUUUGUUUCUUGGCCUCACUAUUCUUUCCACAAGAUGUCUUUUGGUAUAUCUACCCCAUAAUUACGCUACUCUCCUUAUGCAUUGCUUGUAUCUCUAGAAUAUGGAGGAAUUUUAAGCAAAAUGUUCAACUUCUGCUGCCAACAAUUCCUGUUCUUAACAUAUAUAUAACUACAACAAUAAAUAUUGACGAGGAACCCGACUGAGAAUCGUAGGAGAUUGAACAAAUUAAGCAAGUUUAGGCCAAAUGCAAAUUUAAACCUUUGAAUCAGUAAUUAACUGUAGUUAUAUGGAAAGAACUAUAAUGUUUUGAAGUCGUAAAUUUCUGUUAUUUGCCUCUUUUGUAUUACAUUUCUGUUAGCCUAUAGCGAAUAUAAUUCGAGCAAAAAAACGUGUUUUAGAUUUUCAAUUUUUUUUUUAAUUAUUUUUUUGCCUCUAUCAAGGGAUGUCAAUUUAUAUUGGUACUAUAAUUUUGAUUAGUUGCACUACAUUUUAAUUGUAGUUCUUGUUAUAGCAAUCAUUUUCUUAAUUUUUUUCAUCAAAUUUUUAUCUUCAACUUUUCAUUAAUUAAUACAUUUUGUCAUUAAUGAUGAUUUACUUCAAAUAUUUUGUUCUAUGCUUUGAGAUGACGAAAAAAUAUUUUUAGUACAUAUAUUUAUAUAAAAUAUGAUAAAAAAUAAGUCAUCGUACGCUAUUUAUUAUAAUAUAGAAUGACAUAUGUUGACCCCCAAAAAGUGUUGCCAACAGAUGCAGGUCCACCCGCGCACACGUGGGCGAAUGUCCAACAAGUUAAGACACAUGGACGGUCUACGACGAGCGGUUCAAAGGGCAUAGGAGUAGCCCAAUGACACGGGACAGUGACGUUCGGAAUCCGACGGGUUGUUCGUGAUCCGAUUGUACAAUAAUUACCAACCGGUGUUCGUAAAUGUAUAUGUAAAUGUGUGUAAACUCGAUUUGUGUAUUGCAAGUAAAUGGGAGAGAGGGUUGAGUAAAGUGUAGUUCUUUGUAUUGAUUCUUGCAUUAAUCCUUUGAUGUUACACAAGGAAAGUAUUUAUAGUGAUACAUGUAAAUGGGAGCCCUUGGAUGAGGUAGCAUGGCCUCAUCUCUUUGAUUCAAACAUCUUAUUCUAGGCAGGGGGCUUGACUUGCUAGCUUGCUGCGCAUUUAUUGCUUGUGCAGAGCCUCCAUGCUAGUGACAAGACUUGACCUUUAUACUUAUGACAAAUGUUCCAUCAAUCAUUCGAAUAAGAUCUUUGUGUAGACGAUCUCUUGGGAGAAGUGACCAUGGAGGACGUUCCCAUGUGGUUCGGAGGCUCCUGCAUCAGCUUUGGGGCUUCAGCCAUUUCAUACAAUACUCCCACUUGAGGGCUUCAGUUAACUUCAACCAGCUUUCGCAUCAUGGCGUCGGCCCAUAGGCCUCAGGAUGUGGACCUCGGUUACGAUUACAGGCCUCGGUGAAAGGGCAUGCUUCGGAUUGGAGGGCUUGGGCCAUAGCCCACCUCGGCAAUAUAUACCGCCUCGGCUGGAAUGCCACGUGGUUCGGCCUGAGUGGGCCAUUGGCCCAGGUAGGUUGGCUAAGUAUGACAAUACGCAACAAUAGUUCCCCAAGUCCAAGUAUAAAUAUUUAUGUCAUGGUUGGAGUUUGAGAUGUGCUGCUGUAAGCAAAUGAUGAAGAGACCGAGGUUGUGUUGGGUAACCGAACCUGCUAGGCUUGUAGGCCGAUCGUUGAAGUUGAAACCGAGGUGGUUGGGAAACCGAACCUGCGAAGCUUGUAGGCUGAUCGUUGAAGUUGAAUUCGAGGUGGUUGGGUAAUCGAACCUGCGAGGCUUGUAGGCUGAUCGUUGAAGUUGAAGCCGAGAUUCGAUGGGAAUGAUUGUGCGUCGAUAGCUGCACCAAUGAUUUGAUGUUUUGUGCUUGUUUUUGAGGAAAAGCGACUGACCCGUACGACUUCCAGGGGGCCUGCUGCCGUCGAAUUAAAAACACAAUUAUGAGGACAACUGGAGGUUCUAGAAGCAGAUGCACUGGAUGGGGUGCGUGGGAGGCACGCUUGAAUCUGAGGCGUAGGUUUGAAAAAUCGUUUGAAUUCGACGCCUCGGAUUUAUUCUUCAAAGGAGGGUUCAGAUUGACUGAGAUUCAAUCUGACAGCUGGGGUUCGUCCUGGACCUCUAUAAAAGGUAAGAGAAUCCCAUUUUUUAGGACUUUUGAAAUUUUGCAAUUUGAUUCUCUCUCAAAAUCUCGAACUUUCCGGCGUCAAGGCUGCCUGUUCUUUGAUUUUUCGGCCUAUCUCCGUUCGCGUAGUGUUCUUCCCUUAGGUAUUAUUCGUAGAAAAGCCCUUUUUGUUGUGUUAAUUCUGUGAAAUGGAGUCCACCUCGGGUAGGGAGCUGGUGACUGUAGCAUCGUUAGUUUAUGGGGUCAGUCAGAGGGGGGAUGCCGAGGCUGAUAGUUAUGCCAUGGCCGAGGACCCAGUACAUUGUACUGAAAAGUGGGGGCGUCUAGGGUACCCUCAAGUAUGACGUGAAAAAGGUUAGGGGAGAUCAGGGAGAGAUACUGUGUCCCCCAUACCAUAGAAAUGCUAGUACCCCAGCUAAAUGAGCGUGCCUGCUAUUCAAGGCCCGGAUGCGUGGCAGUUAGUGAAUACCUGUUUAAGGCAAGUAUGCGUCUUCCUCUGCACCCCUUCUUUAGGGCAGUGUUGAGGAACUUUAUGUUGUCGCCGACCCAAGUUCUGCCAAAUGGGUGGAGCCAGUUGGUCGGCUCGUACUUCCUAUGGAAGGAGGUGUCACUUGGGGAGGACAUGCCUCUCCAUGUAUUUAUGUCCCUUUUUCAGCCUCGGAUCAUAGGGAAGGAGUCCAGGGGGUGGUAUUACCUUACACCUUGGGGGGCUCACGCACCCUUUAUGGUGGGACUGCCUUCCUCCAUUAAGGGGUAGAAGGAGUCCUGGUUCUGGGUGAGGGGAAAAUGGCAGGUAGUGGAGGGGGAUAAGGCCCUUUCUUGCAUAGUGCCAACCCAGUACUAUGAAGCUCGUGAGUCUCCCAGCCCCUGCUUGUACUUCUGAAUUGAACACUUAGAAAAUUUCUAACUGUUGGGGCUUCCAUUGUAGAUUGUAGUACGAGGUUCGAGCUCAGCAGAGAAGAGUUCGAGGUGAUAGAGGACAUCUACAAGAGGCCUCUGAAGCUCUGCCACUUUGACCAUCUAAUUGACAGGAGUCGCUACUUCCUGGAUUUUGGACUGAUGGCAUCUAGAGGUACGAGGCUCCCAUGGUUGUAAAUUUCCUUGUCCUUUUGAUUGGAUACUGAUGUACUGACUUGACGUUCUUAUGCAGAUAAAUUCAAGAAAAAUGAGUACCCAGCUCCAGACAUGGCUACAAUUCUGAAGGCCACCACCACCGUCAAGGCUAGGGCCUUGAAGCCGGGGUCUAGUGGGGCCAAGGAGGUCCGAGGCAGGGUGGAAUGCCUUUCCAAGGACACUACUCCAAAAGCUUCCGAAGAGGGAGCUUCCCAGAGGCAGGAGAGGCCAAAAGAGCCUCGGGAGAAAGAGAAGAUCCCAGAGGAAGCGAAGAGGAGGAAGCUUGUGCAUGUUACUAGCUCGUCCGAGAAAUUUGGGACAUCAGUGUCCCACGAGGCCAAAUCAACCGGCGAACAAAGCUGCUUGCAUCCGCCUCCAAAGCCAUCAAGUUAGAAAUGGUCAGAGAGGCUGAAGCUGAGGAGGCCAGAGAGGAGGCUGAGAGGAGGGCUGUUGAGGCUGUCAAGGAGGAGGCAGCUAAACAAAAGCCUGUUCGGGAAAAGAGGAAGUCUCCAAGCUUCCUAGCUGAAAGGGAGGAGACCUUGGCCCCACCUUGGUGGAGGCACUCUUCCCCAGGAGGUCCGAAGCGCCACAGAGAACUUUUACCGGUUCUGGACGAACAGGUGGCAGCUGCAUGCCUCUUCCUGCGAUGCCAUCGACCUGACGAAGGCUUUGGUGAGCCAAAGCGUCAGAACCUUCGGCCUCGCUCUUGAAUGCAGGGAGGCCUUGAGUGAUUUUCAGACAAGGACCCAGUCUUCGGAGGAGAAGACGGCCUCUCUUGCAGAGGAGUUGAAGGCAGCUAGGGCCGAGGCGGAAGAAGCCAGGGCCCAAAAACUUAAAGAGAUGGGCAAGCUUGAGUCUGCCUUGGCCCAGAUUGAGGCCUUGAAGAAGGAAGUCCAUGAAUCACGGUGCGAGGUGGCCUCCCUUACAAAGAAGGUGGAAGUCUUUAAUGAGCACCAGAAGGUGACCGUCGAGGCCCUAGAGAAGGCAAAUCUCUCUUUGACGGGUGCCCAAGAAGCUUACCAUUUCUUGGAAACCCAAAUCAAGUGAUAUGUGGAUGAUGCAUCCCAUGCCAGAGAGAGGGCUCAGCAGGCAAGGGAAGAGGCGGUGCGAGAGUAUAUUGCCAACUUCCAUAACACAGAAGAGUAUAAGAGUUUCAGUGCUUACUGGAGAAACUUUGCCUAUGCUGAGGUGAUGGAGCGGGUAGAGGAACUGUAUCCCAAUUUGGAUCUGACUCAACUCAGGUCUGAAUUCGUGGAUGAGGU